CACGUAGUUAGCCGUGGCUUUCUAAUAAGGUACCGUCAAGGUACAGCCAGUUACUACUGUACUUGUUCUUCCCUUACAACAGAGUUUUACGAACCGAAAUCCUUCUUCACUCACGCGGCGUUGCUCCAUCAGGCUUUCGCCCAUUGUGGAAGAUUCCCUACUGCUGCCUCCCGUAGGAGUCUGGGCCGUGUCUCAGUCCCAGUGUGGCCGAUCACCCUCUCAGGUCGGCUACGCAUCGUCGCCUUGGUGAGCCGUUACCUCACCAACUAGCUAAUGCGCCGCGGGCCCAUCCUAUAGCGACAGCCGAAACCGUCUUUCAGUGUUUCACCAUGAGGUGAAACAGAUUAUUCGGUAUUAGCCCCGGUUUCCCGGAGUUAUCCCAAACUAUAAGGUAGGUUGCCCACGUGUUACUCACCCGUCCGCCGCUAACGUCGAAGGAGCAAGCUCCUUCUCUGUUCGCUCGACUUGCAUGUAUUAGGCACGCUGCCAGCGUUGUCCUGAGCCAGGAUCAAACUCU
Molecule: ribosomal RNA, 517 nt
Filed under: uncultured Lysinibacillus sp.
Lineage: Bacteria; Bacillati; Bacillota; Bacilli; Caryophanales; Bacillaceae
Description: partial 16S ribosomal RNA
Source: RNAcentral